This 1680-nucleotide ribosomal RNA is filed under the name Triticum aestivum (bread wheat). RNAcentral describes it as "partial small subunit ribosomal RNA". The record is from RNAcentral. Lineage: Eukaryota; Viridiplantae; Streptophyta; Magnoliopsida; Poales; Poaceae.
AUGCAUCAAAUGUCAAUGGGCCUCUAUCGUUUCUUAGCGGCAAUAGGAAGGACACAAGUAAUGUCCAACAUGCUAAGUGUCAUAAUUCUUAUAGCAAUCUACAUAUUUGGAGGCUUCGUCAUAUCCAAAGAUAAUCUCCAACCAUGGUUGCAGUGGGGGUAUUGGGCAUCCCCAUUCACAUACGCACAAAAUGCAGUUUCCCUAAAUGAGUUCCUUGAUGAAAGAUGGGCUACUGAACUUUAUUAUGCAAAUGCUAAAACAGUUGGUGAAGCUAUCCUCAAGAUUAGAGGGUUGCUCACAGAGUGGCACUGGUACUGGAUUUGUGUCGGUAUUUUAUUUGGAUUCUCAAUUGUGUUCAACAUCCUCACUAUAUUUGCGCUGGAGUUCAUGAAUUCUCCAUACAAUCAUCAAGUUAAGAUCAAUGCCACGAAGAUAGAUCUGGAGUACAAGAACCAAAAAGUUGGAAAUGUCAAUGCAUCAAGUAGUCAAGUUACCCUCCCUUUUCAGCCUCUUUCCCUUGCAUUUUAUCAUAUAAAUUAUUUUUUCGACUUGCCUAAGGAGAUGGUGAAGUAUGGAGUAACAGGAAAAAAUCUUCAACUGCUACAAGAUGUGGGUGGUGUUUUUAGGCCAGGGGUGUUAAAGGCGCUAAUGGGGAUCACAGGUGCUGGAAAGACAACGUUGCUCGAUGUUUUAGCUAGAAGAAAAACUGGAGGACGUAUUGAAGGUACUAUUAGAAUAGCAGGAUACCCAAAGAAGCAAGAAAUAUUCUCAAGGAUCUCAGGCUAUUGUGAACAGAGUGACAUUCACUCCCCUAACCUCACCGUGUAUGAGUCACUACAGUUCUCUGCAUGGCUUCGACUUCCUUCGAACGUUAAAUCUCGCCAAAGACAUAUGCUCAUAGAAGAAGUAAUUGACCUAGUCGAAUUAACUGGACUGAAGAAUUCCAUGGUAGGUCUCGCGGGAACAACUGGUCUUUCAGCCGAGCAGCGAAAAAGGUUAACAAUAGCAGUGGAGUUGGUAGCUAGUCCUUCCAUUAUAUUUAUGGAUGAGCCGACCACAGGUCUGGAUGCUCGUGCUGCAGCAAUUGUCAUGAGAACAGUAAGAAAGACAGUAGACAUUGGGCGAACUGUUGUCUGCACAAUACACCAACCAAGCAUUGAGAUAUUUGAAGCUUUUGAUGAGCUUGUACUCAUGAAAAGAGGUGGUCAGAUCAUAUAUAGUGGCUCAUUAGGUCCACUAUCUGAAAAUAUGAUCAAGUAUUUCCAGGCUAUACCUGGCAUUCCUAUAAUAAAAGAGGGACAAAACCCAGCAGCAUGGGUGCUAAACAUAACUUCACAAUCAGCAGAAUAUGAGAUAGGAGUGGACUACGCACAAAUUUAUCGCAGCUCCUCCCUAUACAUCAAUAACAUGCUUCUAAUUGAUGAGCUGGGGAAAGCAGCGCCAAACACAGAGGAUCUAAAAUUUCCAUCGGGAUAUUGGCAAGACUUUAGAGCACAAUGCAUGGUUUGCCUAUGGAGGCAAAUAUAUGCAUAUUGGAAAAAUCCAGAACACAAUCUUGUUCGGUUUCUGAACACAUUGAUUCUUCCAAUUAUGUUUGGAAUUGUUUUCUGGAAAAUUGGCUCAACCAUAAAACAACAACAAGACAUACUCAACAUACUGGGAGUAGUAUAUGGAUCGUGA